CAGUCGCCACGGUAAAACAGAGGAUGCAAGCGUUAUCCGGAAUGAUUGGGCGUAAAGCGUCUGUAGGUGGCUUUUCAAGUCCGCCGUCAAAUCCCAGGGCUCAACCUGGGAACUGCAUUUGUGACUGUAGAGCUGGAGUGCGGCAGAGGGGGAUGGAAUUCCACGUGUAGCAGUGAAAUGCGUAGAGAUGUGGAGGAACACCGAUGGCGAAGGCAGCCCCCUGGGCCAAUACUGACGCUCAUGCACGAAAGCGUGGGGAGCAAACAGGAUUAGAUACCCGCGUAGUCCCUGUCUCUUAUAC
Molecule: ribosomal RNA, 301 nt
Filed under: uncultured bacterium
Lineage: Bacteria
Description: partial 16S ribosomal RNA
Rfam family: Bacterial small subunit ribosomal RNA
Source: RNAcentral